UUUGAGGUGAGGUAACCAGGAGAACGUGAAACGUCUUGGGAUCCCUCGUAAAUUCUGGGAAGAGCAGUAAAUGUUCUAUGGUAUGUGGGAUGGAGGUUCGAACAAGCUUAAUUGGCCACUGGAGUAGCAGUGAUUCCAAAAUGUGAAGAUCCUGAGGCUGAGUUAAUAUAAGUAAAAACAUGCUAAUUGAUUUUUAAAAAUCAGAAGCCUAUAAAGAAGCAAAAAUUGCCAGUGUAGCAUUUCCAUCCAUUUGGUGUAAUACAUUCACGCAUUAGAGACUAAACUCACGCACCACCCCCUCCAACGUUUCCCUCUGCAACUGUGUCUGAUGGUCCAGCUUUUAGAGUGAUGCGGUCCAUGGAGUCAGAAGCCCAGAGAUCCAUAAACCAUCCAGACAUCUAAUAGUGCUUUAAAAGGGGCCCUGAACACUGGAGGUCAUCAACUCUACUGAAUGGAAGGCUUCUCAUGUUAUGGACAAAUUGAAGCUUUGCCAGGAAGGGAGAGUUGCACACGAAAUCUUCCUGCCUGGGUCUGGAGAUGUGAGCAAGGAAGAGGAAUAACAGAAUGAAUCUUGACUCGAUAAAGUAACUGCCAUUUUCCACUUGUCAACGCUGGAUCUCAUCACAUCUGGUAGAUGGAGUGAGGUCCACCACAUUUUUUCUUCCUUUGCUUUGAAAAGCGAUUUAUUCUGAUAAAAUUCAUGCUCAUUAUAAAUACUGAAAUACACAAAGAAUAAAGUAAAAUACAACUGUUGGGGUGAACAUCCUUCCAGACAGCUCUCUUUGUGCACCUAUUAAAAUAUUAUACA
Acinonyx jubatus (cheetah) is the source of this 808-nucleotide long non-coding RNA. RefSeq lists it as uncharacterized. The transcript is spliced from 4 exons. Lineage: Eukaryota; Metazoa; Chordata; Mammalia; Carnivora; Felidae. The record is from RefSeq and is a predicted model, not a curated record.